GUCUCAAUUAACAAUACCCCAAAACAAAACCAAAAUUAUGUUACAACCAAAUUACAUCUAUUUUCAAUCCUUCCAGUAUCCCCUGAGAGAAAAUUCCUGCAAAUCCUUUCCCAGCACUUCCUGUCAGGUUCAGCUAUUUCCAAUCCAAGCUUGGCAUUUUCAGCAAACUCAACCUGAAAAUUUAUCAAAGUAUGAGUGUCUGCUGAAAUUUAAAGAUUUAUAGUAAAAUAAGAAAAACCCAGUGUGUUUUAAUUACCUCUAUGGAAUUGCUGUUGAGAAGGCGAUCAAUGAGGCUAUAAAGAAUGUCUUUGGUGUACUCAGGAUGGCCUUGAAUGCCCAAUACAUGGUCUCCAAUGGUGAACAUUUCCACUCCUGUUUUAUCUGAGAAAGCAAUUACUUCAGCUCCUAAUGGAACUUCCCAUACCUCAUCUUGGUGGCACUCAAUUAUUGAUAGUGAAGCUGGGAUUUCACUUAAGUUGCUAAGGAAAUUGCAUGGUGACAAAUCCUUCACUAUUCUCACUUUCCUUAGUCCAAUAUCCCACCCUGUGUAUGCUUUCCCUACCUUUCCACCUAAUGCUCUACACAGAACCUGAUGGCCAAAGCAAAUGCCAAGAACUUUUAUUUCCAUGGCAUCAAGAGUUUGCAAGAGGAAACAAAGCUUGAGAAUCCAAAAGUCAUUUCCAUAGGCAUCAUAAGGGCUACCACUGACUACAAACCCAUCAUAUUUAGGAAGGUCAUUCAUGUCAGGGAACUCUCCAUCAACAACCCUAAACAAAUCCCAUCUCUCACCUUCUUCACCAAAAGCUGCAACAAACACAUUGAAGUAUCCUCCAUACACCUUCUUCACAUAAUCAGAGUCUCUUGCUGCUAGCAGAAGAGCAUAUCUUUUCUCAGCUGUAACCUUCAUGAUCAUAUAUAUAUGAUGAAGAAUUCAAGAGAAGAAAUUAGAAAUAAUGGAACCUGAAGACCAAGAAAUUGGCUGAGAAGCUAGAAGAGGUAGUGUUUUUUAU
RNAcentral lists this unclassified non-coding RNA (1010 nucleotides) under Hevea brasiliensis (rubber tree). Lineage: Eukaryota; Viridiplantae; Streptophyta; Magnoliopsida; Malpighiales; Euphorbiaceae. The record is from RNAcentral.